UACGUAGGGAGCAAGCGUUGUCCGGAAUCAUUGGGCGUAAAGCGCGCGUAGGCGGCCCGAUAAGUCCGCUGUGAAAGCCAACGGCUCAACUGUUGGAUGCCGGUGGAUACUGUCGGGCUAGAGUACGGAAGAGGCAAGUGGAAUUCCUGGUGUAGCGGUGGAAUGCGCAGAUAUCAGGAGGAACACCUAUAGCGAAGGCAGCUUGCUGGGACGUUACUGACGCUAAGGCGCGAAAGCGUGGGGAGCGAACAGG
Molecule: ribosomal RNA, 253 nt
Filed under: uncultured bacterium
Lineage: Bacteria
Description: partial 16S ribosomal RNA
Rfam family: Bacterial small subunit ribosomal RNA
Source: RNAcentral